CAAUAGCGUAUAUUAAAGUUGUUGCGGUUAAAAAGCUCGUAGUUGGAUUUCUGCUGAGAACGACCGGUCUGCCCUUUGGGUGUGUAUCUGGCUCUUUCUUGGCAUCUUCUUGGUGAACGUUGCUGCACUUGACUGUGUGGAGCGCUACCCAGGACUUUUACUUUGAGGAAAUUAGAGUGUUUCAAGCAGGCAUACGCCUUGAAUACAUUAGCAUGGAAUAAUAAGAUAGGACCUCGGUUCUAUUUUGUUGGUUUCUAGAGCUGAGGUAAUGAUUAAUAGGGAUAGUUGGGGGCAUUCGUAUUUAACUGUCAGAGGUGAAGUUCUUGGAUUUGUUAAAGACGGACUACUGCGAAAGCAUUUGCCAAGGAUGUUUNCAUUGA
RNAcentral lists this ribosomal RNA (380 nucleotides) under uncultured eukaryote. RNAcentral describes it as "partial 18S ribosomal RNA". It matches the Rfam family "Eukaryotic small subunit ribosomal RNA", at positions 592 to 976 of the family's 1831-position model. The record is from RNAcentral.